UUAACCAUUCCUUUCAUGCGCCGCCGAGAAAGAAAGGUCCCGUCUUAGAUCUGCCGAGAACGCCGUCCACAUCAUCCCUUUCGUCCUCGUUCUUUGCGGUUUCAUUCUUUGGUUCUUUUCCGGCCUAGAAUCAAGGGUAUGAAGAUUGAUAGCAAAAUCAAGAGUCUUUGGUUCAUGGGAUGACUUGACUAAAAAAUUGGAGCUCAAGGGCUUCUGUUCCACAAAAGAAGUGGUAUGCAUAACCUGAGAGGUUAUCAAAGAAUGGAUGUAACUCAUUUGUAUCUUUUCAAAUAGAUAACUUGAUAUUCAUUUGCUUCUGGAAAACAUUUUUUAUUUUUGUAAAAUGCAGGUGUUUUCAUGCACUUUGCGAUGUUACAUAUAUAAGAGACGAAAAUUUAAUGGGUAUAUGUUUAUGAUAUGUAAAAUGCCUUUUACUUCUGGCU
Molecule: long non-coding RNA, 443 nt
Organism: Hibiscus syriacus
Lineage: Eukaryota; Viridiplantae; Streptophyta; Magnoliopsida; Malvales; Malvaceae
Exons: 2
Source: RefSeq, a predicted model, not a curated record